RNAcentral lists this ribosomal RNA (505 nucleotides) under uncultured bacterium. Its description in RNAcentral is "bacterial SSU rRNA". It matches the Rfam family "Bacterial small subunit ribosomal RNA", at positions 28 to 509 of the family's 1533-position model. The record is from RNAcentral.
GACGAACGCUGGCGGCGUGCUUAACACAUGCAAGUCGCACGAGGACGGGAGCUUGCUCCCGAGCCGAGUGGCGGACGGGUGAGUAACACGUGACCAACCUGUCCUAGGGUGAGGGACAACCUGGGGAAACCCGGGCUAAUACCGCAUGAUGUCUCGAGGUCGCAUGGCCUUGAGAUCAAAGAGGGCCUCUGCUUGCAAGCUCUCGCCCUGGGAGGGGGUCGCGGCGUAUCAGCUAGUUGGUGAGGUAACGGCCCACCAAGGCUACGACGCGUAGCGGGUCUGAGAGGACGACCCGCCUCAUUGGGACUGAGAUACGGCCCAGACUCCUACGGGAGGCAGCAGUGGGGAAUAUUGCGCAAUGGACGAAAGUCUGACGCAGCGACGCCGCGUGUGGGAGGAAGCUCUUCGGGGUGUAAACCACUGUCAGGAGGGAAGAAACUCGCCGUACCGAAUAGGGCCGGCGAUUGACGGUACCUCCAAAGGAAGCGCCGGCUAACUCCGUGCC